Acanthochromis polyacanthus (spiny chromis) is the source of this 586-nucleotide long non-coding RNA. RefSeq lists it as uncharacterized. The transcript has 3 exons. NCBI's taxonomy places the organism in Eukaryota, Metazoa, Chordata, Actinopteri, Pomacentridae. The record is from RefSeq and is a predicted model, not a curated record.
UGUAGCGACACGCACGUCAUGUAAAACCAUAGUAGUCUUUCUUAAGUACCUUAGAGAGUAAAGCGUGAUAAGCUAACGCGUGUUUUGAGAAGUUUGAGUUGAAAACGAGUUAGUCACGUUGUGUUUCUGAACUGGUGGACGUGGGUCAGUGGCGACCGUGGAAAUAAAGCAAAAGAAAGUUGAGAUUUGUACGAGGUAGAAGUCAUAAGCUAAGUGCCCAGAAAUUCAUGUGUAAGGGGUGACACCAGGGGGUGUCGCUGUGGCCCCACAGGUAGAAUCCUGAUAAAUAGGAAGUGGGUAGCCCAGCCCCAGUGUGGUGCUAGUUUCUGUGGGGAGCCAGGCUGUUUGCUGGACCCACGCUGUGUUGGUCGCGUUUGAAGCGUUGGGACCAAAUGCGGUUUUAAGCCAAGUGAUGGUGAGGACCCGUGGUGGUGAUUGAAGCUGUGUGUGAGGCGUUCAUGACAUGCAGCACUGUCCAUUGUCACCUGCUGUCCUUGUUAGUGUUUUUUUGCUUUUGUUAGUCCGUCCCCUAGGGAGGUUAAAUUGUAUAUUCAGCCUCUGUGUUUGUGUGUACGGACGGACUGAC